Molecule: ribosomal RNA, 588 nt
Filed under: uncultured bacterium
Lineage: Bacteria
Description: bacterial SSU rRNA
Rfam family: Bacterial small subunit ribosomal RNA
Source: RNAcentral
AAAGGAGAAAUCCGCUGAGGGAUGGGCUCACGUCUGAUUAGUUAGUUGGUGAGGUAACGGCUCACCAAGACUGCGAUCAGUAGCCGGACUGAGAGGUUGAACGGCCACAUUGGGACUGAGAUACGGCCCAGACUCCUACGGGAGGCAGCAGUGGGGAAUAUUGGGCAAUGGGCGAAAGCCUGACCCAGCAACGCCGCGUGAAGGAAGAAGGCCUUCGGGUUGUAAACUUCUUUUAAGAGGGACGAAGAAGUGACGGUACCUCUUGAAUAAGCCACGGCUAACUACGUGCCAGCAGCCGCGGUAAUACGUAGGUGGCGAGCGUUAUCCGGAUUUACUGGGUGUAAAGGGCGCGUAGGCGGGAAUGCAAGUCAGAUGUGAAAUCCAGGGGCUUAACCCUUGAACUGCAUUUGAAACUGUAUUUCUUGAGUGUCGGAGAGGUUGACGGAAUUCCUAGUGUAGCGGUGAAAUGCGUAGAUAUUAGGAGGAACACCAGUGGCGAAGGCGGUCAACUGGACGAUAACUGACGCUGAGGCGCGAAAGCGUGGGGAGCAAACAGGAUUAGAUACCCUGGUAGUCCACGCCGUAAAC